GCGGGAGUGGUGGAAUUGGCAGACACGCAGGUCUUAGGAACCUGUGUCUUCGGACGUAGGGGUUCAAGUCCCCUCUCCCGCACCA
Molecule: transfer RNA, 85 nt
Filed under: Actinomycetes bacterium
Lineage: Bacteria; Bacillati; Actinomycetota; Actinomycetes
Also listed under: 4 other names
Description: tRNA-Leu
Rfam family: tRNA
About the family: Transfer RNA (tRNA) molecules are approximately 80 nucleotides in length. Their secondary structure includes four short double-helical elements and three loops (D, anti-codon, and T loops).
Source: RNAcentral